RNAcentral lists this ribosomal RNA (838 nucleotides) under uncultured Cellulophaga sp. RNAcentral describes it as "bacterial SSU rRNA". It matches the Rfam family "Bacterial small subunit ribosomal RNA", at positions 23 to 862 of the family's 1533-position model. Lineage: Bacteria; Pseudomonadati; Bacteroidota; Flavobacteriia; Flavobacteriales; Flavobacteriaceae. The record is from RNAcentral.
CUCAGGAUGAACGCUAGCGGCAGGCCUAACACAUGCAAGUCGAGGGGUAACAGGGAGCUUGCUCCGCUGACGACCGGCGCACGGGUGCGCAACGCGUAUGCAAUCUACCUCUUACUAAGGGAUAGCCCAGAGAAAUUUGGAUUAAUAUCUUAUGUGAUAUGUGACUGGCAUCGGUUGCAUAUUAAAGGUUACGGUAAGAGAUGAGCAUGCGUCUCAUUAGUUAGUUGGUAAGGUAACGGCUUACCAAGACUUCGAUGAGUAGGGGUCCUGAGAGGGAGAUCCCCCACACUGGUACUGAGACACGGACCAGACUCCUACGGGAGGCAGCAGUGAGGAAUAUUGGACAAUGGACGGAAGUCUGAUCCAGCCAUGCCGCGUGUAGGAAGACUGCCCUAUGGGUUGUAAACUACUUUUAUACAGGAAGAAUAAGAUCUACGUGUAGAUUGAUGACGGUACUGUAAGAAUAAGGACCGGCUAACUCCGUGCCAGCAGCCGCGGUAAUACGGAGGGUCCGAGCGUUAUCCGGAAUUAUUGGGUUUAAAGGGUCCGUAGGCGGGCUGUUAAGUCAGAGGUGAAAUGCUGCGGCUCAACCGUAUGCACUGCCUUUGAUACUGGCGGUCUUGAGUUAUAGUGAAGUGGCUAGAAUAAGUAGUGUAGCGGUGAAAUGCAUAGAUAUUACUUAGAAUACCGAUUGCGAAGGCAGGUCACUAACUAUACACUGACGCUGAUGGACGAAAGCGUGGGUAGCGAACAGGAUUAGAUACCCUGGUAGUCCACGCCGUAAACGAUGGAUACUAGCUGUUCGGUUUUCGGACUGAGCGGCCAAGCGAAAGUGAUA